RNAcentral lists this ribosomal RNA (714 nucleotides) under Pseudomerulius aureus. RNAcentral's name for it is "eukaryotic LSU rRNA". Lineage: Eukaryota; Fungi; Basidiomycota; Agaricomycetes; Boletales; Tapinellaceae. The record is from RNAcentral.
UAGAGGAAGUAAAAGUCGUAACAAGGUUUCCGUAGGUGAACCUGCGGAAGGAUCAUUAUCGAUUCUCCUUUGAAGGAGGUUUGGGCUGUGCUGGCCUUUYCGAAGGCAUGUGCACGUCCUCACAUCCGUACCCAUACACCUGUGCACCUGUUGUAGGUCUCGCAAGGGAUCUAUGUUAUCUUUGAUAAACACCUUGAUGUAUGUCCUUAGAAUGUCCUUAUGAUUGUCUUUGCUGCUCGAUUUAUUUUGAGUGGUGGGGAUGAAAUAUAUUAUAACUUUCAGCAAUGGAUCUCUUGGUUCUCGCAUCGAUGAAGAACGCAGCGAAUUGCGAUAUGUAAUGUGAAUUGCAGAUUUUCCGUGAAUCAUCGAAUCUUUGAACGCACCUUGCGCUCCUUGGUAUUCCAAGGAGCAUGCCUGUUUGAGUGUCAUUAAAUUCUCAACUAAUCUUCCUUUCGGGGUUGUGAGGUUGGAUUGUGGGGGGUUUUGCUGGCAGCCUUUUCUUGUCAGCUCCUCUGAAAUGCAUUAGCAAAAGGGAAGCCCGUCUGUCUCGAUAAAGGCUUUUGUCGGUGUGAUAAUGAUCGCCGUAGAUGGCUUGAAGGGAUGGGGCUYCGUUUGAUGCUUACAGCUUUGAAUGGAUUGUUGUGGUGAUCACGACGAUGCCAUCUUUUGACUUUUUGACCUCAAAUCAGGUAGGAUUACCCGCUGAACUUAAGC